UGAACUAGACUGCUUUGAGAUCUCA
RNAcentral lists this non-coding RNA (25 nucleotides) under Cricetulus griseus (Chinese hamster). Lineage: Eukaryota; Metazoa; Chordata; Mammalia; Rodentia; Cricetidae. The record is from RNAcentral.